Molecule: small nuclear RNA, 198 nt
Organism: Mustela lutreola (European mink)
Lineage: Eukaryota; Metazoa; Chordata; Mammalia; Carnivora; Mustelidae
Product: U2 spliceosomal RNA
Exons: 1
Source: RefSeq, a predicted model, not a curated record
AUCACUUCUCGGCCUUUUGGCUAAGAUCAAGUGUAGUAUCUGUUCUUAUCAGUUUAAAAAAAUUAGCAAAAAUAACAGGAAACACUCCGGCAUUGGAAGCAGUGCAAAACUAAAUCAUUUCUUAAUGAGUUAUUGGGUUUCUAAUUAAUGUAAAACUUAAUAGGCAACAUUUCUUCCUUGAGUCAAUACAUAUGAUGA